GUCAGGAUGGCCGAGCGGUCUAAGGCGCUGCGUUCAGGUCGCAGUCUCCCCUGGAGGCGUGGGUUUGAAUCCCAUUUCUGACA
RNAcentral lists this transfer RNA (83 nucleotides) under Petromyzon marinus (sea lamprey). RNAcentral's name for it is "tRNA-Leu (CAG) (tRNA-Leu-CAG-15-1)". It matches the Rfam family "tRNA". Rfam says of the family: Transfer RNA (tRNA) molecules are approximately 80 nucleotides in length. Their secondary structure includes four short double-helical elements and three loops (D, anti-codon, and T loops). Lineage: Eukaryota; Metazoa; Chordata; Hyperoartia; Petromyzontiformes; Petromyzontidae. The record is from RNAcentral.